GUCAGGAAGAGGAAGAAAUUGACCAUCUAAGGGCAGUCGGAAUGGGAACAUUGAGGAAAGCCUACAGCGUCUUUCAACUCCACUAGAAAUGGGGGUGCAGAUAAUGUUUUUGUGUUCUCCUAGUGCCUCCCAUUUCUAUUGUCCUUAGAUACUCCUUCCUCUUCCUUUCAGCU
RNAcentral lists this microRNA precursor (173 nucleotides) under Oryza punctata. RNAcentral describes it as "MIR2118 microRNA precursor family". It matches the Rfam family "MIR2118 microRNA precursor family". The record is from Rfam by way of RNAcentral. Lineage: Eukaryota; Viridiplantae; Streptophyta; Magnoliopsida; Poales; Poaceae.